GUGCCAGCAGCCGCGGUAAUACGUAGGGGGCGAGCGUUGUCCGGAUUUACUGGGCGUAAAGCGCGUGUAGGCGGUCGGCCAAGUCCGGGGUGAAAGGCGGGGGCUCAACCCCCGAACUGCGCUGGAAACUGGCUGGCUUGAGUGUCGGAGAGGGGAGUGGAAUUCUCGGUGUAGCGGUGAAAUGCGUAGAGAUCGAGAGGAACACCCGUGGCGAAGGCGGCUCCCUGGCCGAACACUGACGCUGAGACGCGAAAGCGCGGGGAGCGAACGGGAUUAGAAACCCCUGUAGUCC
RNAcentral lists this ribosomal RNA (292 nucleotides) under uncultured bacterium. RNAcentral's name for it is "partial 16S ribosomal RNA". It matches the Rfam family "Bacterial small subunit ribosomal RNA", at positions 505 to 796 of the family's 1533-position model. The record is from RNAcentral.